This 4487-nucleotide long non-coding RNA is filed under the name Lynx pardinus (Iberian lynx). Lineage: Eukaryota; Metazoa; Chordata; Mammalia; Carnivora; Felidae. The record is from RNAcentral.
UCAGGAAUGGGGACAGAGGGGUGCUGUCCUUCUUGAUGUUAACAGUUCAGAGGGAGGGCUCCCUGGUUGUUAAGAAAGACAUUCUUGGACCUCAAAGCUGGCAAAAGACCUAUCUAGUUUUCACAAAGGACUUAUAUACAUUUCAAAGAGGGCAGAAAGCCUCUGAAAUCACAAAUUUCCUAAAGUAAAUGCUGUAAGUAAAAGGAUGGGAAGGGACUUUCUUCCUCUAUUUUCAACAGGGACAAUAAACUUCUUACCUUUUUUUUUGCCCUUACAGUGGACUUUGGUUGUGUUUUGUCCCAUGGGUGUUGUUCAGCUGGCUGUUGGCUGAUUGAUCUAGGAGAGUUUUAGCUGGAAAGGCUUUGCUAGACUGAGCAUGUCCUUCCUGUGUCAGAGGCCAAGGCAAAGGCACAAGCAGUUUCUAGCCUCUGCUAGUCACAUUCCCUGAACUCUCAGUGGCUGAGUCAAGGUGCAUGAUGGAACCCAGAGGCAGAGUGUGAAGGCACUAAAAAUAUGUGGCAGAAGCUGAGAUAGAUGUAAAGGAGGCUGAAGGAUUAGGGAUAUGUUCAUCGUCAGACUAUCACAGAUGGGGCCAAAUAUGAAUUAGUUCAGGAUUUGAGUUUGAAACAUCUGUGAGGAAUUCUGGCAGAGCUAACCCCCAGGGAUGUGGAUAUUAGGGAGAUAGCUCAGGAAGUAGGUAGGGUUUUCGAUGGUGGAAGCAGAUGCCCCGGAGCGUGUGUGAGGUGAGAAGAGCAGAGAAGGAUGUAACCUGGGACCAAAUUCCUCUUUCUGUCACUAGGGGUAAUGGACAUGCCACUCUCAUGGUUGGAGAGAAGAGCCCUGCCGUCUGUGCCCAAUGCAGGACCCCAUGCUCCUUCCUUCUGUUCUCUAUGGCAGGGCCACUGCUUUGCUCCCUAGGGAGCCCCCAGAAUGCAUGCUGCCCCUGGAGUUAUGCACAGGAAGACGCUGAUGGCAUCCCCGGGUUCUGGAAGGCCUCCCUGUGCUCUCCACCUUCUCUCUUGCAGGCGUGGGCUUUGUCCCCAAAGUACACGUCACUGGGCCAGAGAGGGACAGGGUUUCAGUGCACAGCCUUGGAGUGGCUCCCAAAGCCCCACGUGCAGUGGAGGUCCCUCAGUAGGGAGAAGUUCCUGGCAUUCUCGGAGACCCAUGCCCAAGAUGCUAAAGCGGUGUUCAGUGUGGAGGCUGCCUGGUGGUGAGUGACAGGUCUCCAGGCAAUACGACCUGCUCAGUGCUUAGCCUCAUCUGACCUGCCCACCAUAUUGCCAGCUGUUUUGCCUUCAAUGCAACUAGUUCUCAGUCAGCACCUGGAAGCCACAAACCAGGUAUACUUAUGUUGAAACCUUGCCGUUGUACUUCACCAUUCUGCUCUUUGCAGCUUCAUUCCCCCUUUCUGCUUUUUGUUUUAAUUAUUUUUAGUUAUGCCAUUUUCUCCUCUGUUGGCUUUAACAAUAUCUAGAUCAUGUUUCUUGAUUUCUCUAUUAAUUAUAGUAUUUUUAUUAUUUGUUGGCUACCCUUGAGAUUCAGCUUUAUUUCUUUCCUUUUUUUUCUUUUUCUUUUCUUUCUUUCUUUUUUUUUUUUUUGUAAAUUAAACUGGGUCCUGAGCUCCACCAGGAGAGGGUCCAAUGAAUCUGUGCUGAGCUGACAUUAAUAUUUUCUUCAGCAGGCCAGGAAGGAGUCAGUCCUGCACAAAUCUGAACAUAUGCAGCCUGGCAAAGGGCACAGGAGUGCAGAUGCUGGGAGGCAGAAGUUGGUGUUGUCAGAGUGGAGGUUAGAAAGGAGGCUAGGAAGGCUGGAGAGAGUUGGGGAGGAGAGCAGAGAGGGAGAAGGAGGAGGGCCAGGGCCUGGGGCAGGAUGACAUUUUCAGCACUCUGCUACUAGUGCUGUAUGACCUUAUUUCCCCACACUUAGUGGCUUGACCUACAAACACUUACUGUCUCACAGUCCCAGGGAACCAGGAAUCCAGCAGCACUCAGCUGGGGGCUCCUACCAGAGUCUCUCAGGAGUUUGGGGCUGUUGUCAGCACCGAGGCAGGACUUGCUUCACUCAGAACCUGAGCUCACUUAGGGGUGUUAGCAGGGUUCAGUCGACAUCAAAGGCCUGAGUUCUUCUCUUCUGUUGUUGUCUCUCAGUGCUAGACCACAUGCAUGUGUCUGUGUCAUGACUCAACAUAGAGGCCUGUUCCCCAGUGUGAGGAUCUGAGAGAGAACACAGGUCAGAGUGAGCACGUGGCUGGGCACUGAGAUUUUAUAACCAAACCUUGGAAGGGGCUUUGGGUCCUGUUGCCAUCUUCUGUAGAAUAGAAGUGAAUCACUAAGUCUAGGCCACACUCCAGAGGAGGGAGUUCCACAAGGACAUGUAUACAGGAGGUGGGGAUCUCAAGGAGCCACUGAGGGGAAAAGAUGAGGACCCUGACAGGGUCAGUGCCUUUUCCAGAAUCACAGGGACUGGUCAAAAGGCAGAACCAAGCAUGAAUCUAGCUCCAUGUCCUUAAAGUUGGGGUUCUGGCUGCACCCAGGCUUUCUGAGGGGGCUCUGGAAAAGGUUGUGUUAUUGUACCUGUACAGACAUGGAGAUGGUGUGGGGGUGAGGGUGAACAGGAGGGUGACAGGAGGCAUUCCAACACAUUCUUGUCUGAGGAGGACCCCAGGUCAGGGCAACACACUGAGUGCACCCCUGUCCACAUUGCACCCAGUGGAGAGGGAGAGAAUGGCAGAGCCUAGAGGUAAGGGUGGGUUCUGACCUUCUAGGCCAAAGCUCCAAUCCAUUCUGUCUGGUUUGCUUUGGAAAUUAGCCUAUGAUCUUGGGAAGCUUUUGCCCAUCCUUCCCAUCUUCUGGGCCUCCAGAAUGUGAACACUGGUACACACACACACACACACACACACACACCCCAGUAAGGACGGUGGGGUGGGAUCUGAGGAGCUGCAGGUUCAGAGGUGGUGAAGAGACAACGAAAAUAUGGCUGGAAGCACAUCCUAUGUGUGACACUACUCCUCCAAUUUCAUAGGUAUCAUCUGAAAUAUGCCUGAGGACAUCCCGAGGAAGUACAUGCUAGAAUAAUCUCCAUUGCACAGGAAGGACACAGACCAUCCCUAAGAGGCAUAAUGGCUUAUCCAGGGUCAAAAUCAGGUAAGAAUGAAGAUUUGGGUCUGAACCUAGAUGUGUCUCAAAGGUGGGACCCGGAUGCACCCAGACCUUCCCAGGGGACUGUAGAGAGUAGUGCAUUGGUGUAACUGUGUACAGAUGAGACAUAUCAUGGAGAAAGGGGGUGAGAAGCCAGCAGCCCAGGGCUCUAUUUGCAUAGGUGUUAUCCCUGGAGGGGACUCGGGUAGGUGAUCCUAGGCAGUGAAGUUACUGCCUUGACAACAGACCCCAAGAGAACUUGGAAUCCCCAUAACCAGGCACCCAAAUUCUAGUAUAGUCCCACACCAGGCUCACUUGGCUGGAGACACUUGAUAGUAAAAAAUGUUUUCUUGCUGUUCUUUCUUUCUGGAGCUCUGGCUUCCAGAGACCCCAGUGGGGAAGAUGUUUCAGAUGCUGUGGAUGUUGGCUCAACCCUUGCUCCCAAUGCCUCAGGCUGUUUUUCUGAAGGCCCCGUAAAGUAGUAAUACAGAGCAGCCUAGGGAAGGCCAGUUCAGCUCAGGCCACCUGUUUGAGCCAUCCCUGGGCAGCCCCAUUCCCUCCUCUUCAGUUUCAGGGAAAGAGGGACAUGUGAGGAGGUCCUGCCCGGGGCUAGAGAAGGUUGGAGGGCAGUGGAUAACCUGGUGACCCCAUCAUGUCCACACCAAUGUCAUGGUGGGUAGGGUGGAAAAGGGAUUCCUGAGGUGCUUCUUUCCUGUGCAAGGGUUAAUCCAAGGUCCUUGCGCAUGUAUCUUUUUCCUCCUUGGUGGAAGUCUGUGCACACUGUGGUGUAGUGUGUCUGGAAUGGAGUCACAUGGGUCUGAGGGCCAGUAAAGGCAGCCAGUCAGGACUCUGAGGCCUCCUGCCUAUCUGCUGCACUGUCUUUACAGAACUGCACACCAGAGAUGGGGCAGGAGUUGAGUGAUGAGAUCCUCUGCUCAACUUCCGUGAAGGACAGGAAUAUGCCCCACAACACCAACAGGAUGCAGCACCGAACCGGCUCAGGGGGAGUGCAGAUACCAGGGAGACCCAACACCCAGGGCCCAGAUGCAGCAACAAGAUCCCAGGGCCCAGAAGCCACACUGCUAGUCCCCUGAGCCCCCUUGUAGACUUCUGCUCCCAGAUGAAUCUGGAUCCCCAAAUCCUGCUCAAAUUUGCCUUCACGGCCCAGCCCCUGCCAUGGCCAGAUGCAAAGUCACUGUCCACUUAUUUGUAGGAAUAUCAGAAAAGAGACCUGAAGUCAUUUCACAUCCCAUCUGGUCUAGAGUAUUUUUUCACUGUUGUAUGUAUUUUCCUAACUCCUGUUCUCAGGUGUCCCUGUUGGCCUGACCAUCCUUGCACAACUUCUCC